AGGCAGCAGUGAGGAAUAUUGGUCAAUGGGCGGAAGCCUGAACCAGCCAAGUCGCGUGAGGGAAUAAGGCCCUACGGGUCGUAAACCUCUUUUGCCGGGGAGCAAGGGCGGGGACGUGUCCCGGCCCGGAGAGUACCCGGAGAAAAAGCAUCGGCUAACUCCGUGCC
RNAcentral lists this ribosomal RNA (167 nucleotides) under uncultured bacterium. RNAcentral describes it as "partial 16S ribosomal RNA". It matches the Rfam family "Bacterial small subunit ribosomal RNA", at positions 346 to 509 of the family's 1533-position model. The record is from RNAcentral.